UGAGGUGUCGUAAUCGAUACCUCCACCGCCCGCAGAUGCCAACCAAUCUGGGAGUGGCCGAAAACAGGGCCAGAGGCGGCUGCAUUGGCCGAAAAAUACGCCCCGGGCCGUAUUGGUCCAUGGCGACGAUCACAAACGCCCUGACACCGGUUCGGACCUAUUCGCGCCGCCGACGUGCAGCCCGCAUCCCUUGGAACGCGUCUUCGAGAACCCUGACUUGGCUCCGCUCUUCAAGGAGCUGCCCAAUCUGAAGGACGAGCUGUGGCGCUCGCCCCUGGGGAUCAGCAGAACGCCGAGUUCCUCUUCAAGGUCUACGUCAGUUUGAGCAAUGCAGUUACUCCCUUCUUCCACCGAGCCGUCGAGCUCAUAACCGUGAGCGCCCCCAAGGUGACGGAUCUUGCUAAGUUCAACAUCGCCGCGGAGCUGUCCACCUAUGUCCAGUCCGUCGUGGAUCCCAUCCCCAACGGAUUCUCGCUGGUUGCCAAAUAUAAAUUGAGACCUCCUAAGAACCCAGGAAUCAAGGUUCCCUCUUUGCGAGAGCUUAGGAAUGUAGUCGGCCGCGUGGUGUUGAAGAACAUAGGGGCACCGCCUAUAUUGACCGUCAUCAGAUUGCACAUACAACUAUCAAUUUUGGUCAAAACUUAUAUUCGAAGGCAGGCGCAUAAUCUCUACAUGGAUCACGGGAAUCACCCUAUUAUGCUCAUAACUGACGCGAGCCAAACGAAGGAUGCUGCUAGUCAAACGAAGGAUGCUAGUCAAACGAAGGACGCUGGCCAAGCGAAGGAAACUAGCCAGACGGAGGAUGCUAACCAGACAGAGGAUAAUACUCAAAAGGAGGAUACGAACCAAAAGAAGGAGAUCCCGGCCGAAUCGCAGCCUCAGCCGUCGAAAGAAGAACCGGCCGAAUCUCAUUUUCAACCUAUGAGAACCGUAUCGGAACACUUCAAGAAAAUAACCGGCAUCAUCAUAAAGCUCCCAAUAUAAGAGGCAGGAACACCGAAAAAAAAGAUGCUGUGGUAACAUUCCGGAUGUUACGGUUAUUAAAAAAAUGCGCGACAGCUCUUGGAUGUUGCUGUUGACACUCUGGCAGUUAACGUAGCAUGCUAGGAUGUAAAAUUAACAUCCUAGGAUGUUGCUUUAACAGCCAGAGUGGAGGUGACAACAUCCAAGAGUUGUCGCACAUUUUUUUUUACAUCCGGGAUGUUGCUGCAGCUCCUCUUUUUUUUCGGUGAAUAACGAUACGGAGCAAAUGUUGUGGUUAAGCCCGAAAUACACCUAAAAACUAAGAGCGCAAAAUUAUUACUGUGAUCGUCUGUUUUUGUCACGUUUAAUAUAGAUUAUUGACGUUUUCUUCUGUAAAUUUGGAUAUCACAAGAACACUGGGCAGGCAACUGUUAGGGAGAGGGGCCAUCCAUAAAUUACGUCACCCAUUUUUUCCAAUUUUUCGACCCCUCCCUUCCUCACCGUAUCAAAUCGUCAUCCACUGCUAGAUCCCCGUCUAAAAAUUACGACAUCCUCAGCGUAACCCCCCCCCCCCCCCCCCCAUUUUGGGGUGAAGCGCACAAUAUCGAUGAAAAUCAAUAAAUAAAGUAUGCAGCGUUAGUAGCAUGAUUAAUUUGUCGAAGGCACCCAGUAUAUGUUGCGUUCUUCCCCUCUUUUUGGGAGAAAACGCAGAAAAUCGAUAAAAUCCAGUAGAUAUAAUAGUUCAGCAUCAGCGUGCCCUCAAAUUUCAAGCAAGCAUUUUCAGCCUUUUUGCCUUCAAGAGAGAUUACAUCAUCCGUGGCUUGACACCCCAUCACCCACCGUCAACCACAGCUAGAACCCCCCCCCCCCCCCCACCUUGGGUGACGUAAUUUAUGGACGGUCCCUAAAAGAAGCAUCAGGUCUACUCCGUGAAAGUGAAGAGUCAAUGAAAUUUCACAUUCAUUCUCAGGUAAAACAUUUUUAGUAUUAAAGUUUUUCAUUGAAGUGAUUCAAAUCGCGAUUUUGCCUAUAUGACAUCACUGAAGAGACCUCUUGUUUCUCAAAACGACCAGUCCUCUCUCAUGGAAUGUAACUCAUGAGUUUGAUUAUGACGAGAAGUGCAAAAUUAGUUUUUGCAAUUGAAUUAUAUAAAAUGUUGAAUGAUUUCCAACAAAACGGACCAAUAAACUCUAAAAUCCCAAAUGAGCAUUGACUACAGACGCGAGAGGACGUAGACCUGCUAAAUAUUAAGAAUAUUUGAAUUUUUCUGACUUCUAGAAUAUCGUAUAGUUACAAAUUUAGAAACAGGAAUUUGCAUGAUAAUUCUUGCUGACGCACUAUGAACAUAUAAUUACAUCAAUUAAUGUAUAUUCUCCUUUUUAAUAUUGUUCACCUUUUUUCACCUUUUACAUCAAAUUAUAUUAUAACCAACACCGAAUAAAUGUAUCUCUCUUCCAAUUUUCCCUUUCCAAAAUUGUGCAUAUGGAUAGCCUUCCAAAAAGUUGUCUCUUUUUCGGGAGCGGAAAGUAUUCGUUUAAAUGUAGUUAAAAUGAAACCUCUUCAUAAGAAAAGCCUCUAUUGUAAUAUUCAGCUUAUAGGUUCAAAGCUUAUUUUGCCGACACAGCGGUACUAAAUUUACAUUUUUAGUUCACAUACAAGCAUAUUUUAAUGCUAAAAAUUUUAAAUUUGGAAUACUAUAUCAUUGAAACCGUUAUUGAACUUGAGGUUAAAACUUUUACUUCUUUAUCAAACUUCAUUUGAACUUUUUUAAAACUCCUAAUUUGAACAUUUUUUUCACUAUCAUAAGGUUUUAUUUAAGUUUUCUGGCAAUUAAAAUCCCAGGCUCCAUGAAAAAGGACAUAAGAGGUCCUUUUCAUGGGAGGCACUCAGCUUUUUCUCACCUCGUAAUUCCAUUUGGACCGAAUUUAACCCAAGUUACAUCAAGAGUGAGCCAAAAAAGAGAGCGAAGUUUUAACCUUCAAUAAAGUGCAAUUUUAUAGGCAAAGUUCAACGCCUCUUUCCACAUUAUAGAUAUUUUUUCUCUACUCUGAAACUUUUAUAAGAAAUAAUAUGUGGCUGGUAAAUAUAAAAGUACUCCUAACUCAUAUUUUUCUGACAUGUGCGACUUGCUUUUUUUCUGUUUAAUAUCCUUCUACCUUUUUCUGAUGAGAAACAUUUUGCAUGGUAAAAC
Molecule: long non-coding RNA, 3154 nt
Filed under: Bemisia tabaci
Lineage: Eukaryota; Metazoa; Arthropoda; Insecta; Hemiptera; Aleyrodidae
Description: lncRNA ENSSSA3NGG011422
Source: RNAcentral